GGAUGUGAGGGCGAUCUGGCUGUGACAUCUGUCACCCCACUGAUCGCCAUCCCCGAUAGAGGAGGACCGUUCUUCGGUCAAGGGUAUACGAGUAGCUGCGCCCCCCUGCUAGAACCUCCAAACAAGCUCUCAAAAACUUGUCAAACAGACUCCAAAAUUCUUAAAUUUCCACUUAUUAAAAGCUAUGGAUCAAAU
RNAcentral lists this small nuclear RNA (195 nucleotides) under Castor canadensis (American beaver). Its description in RNAcentral is "7SK RNA (ENSCCNG00000004375.1)". It matches the Rfam family "7SK RNA". Rfam says of the family: 7SK was discovered as an abundant small nuclear RNA in the mid-70s but a possible function has only recently been suggested. Two independent studies have found that 7SK RNA binds the CDK9/cyclin T complex (known as elongation factor P-TEFb). Lineage: Eukaryota; Metazoa; Chordata; Mammalia; Rodentia; Castoridae. The record is from Rfam by way of RNAcentral.